Molecule: transfer RNA, 69 nt
Filed under: Hoplobatrachus tigerinus (Indus valley bullfrog)
Lineage: Eukaryota; Metazoa; Chordata; Amphibia; Anura; Dicroglossidae
Description: tRNA-His
Rfam family: tRNA
About the family: Transfer RNA (tRNA) molecules are approximately 80 nucleotides in length. Their secondary structure includes four short double-helical elements and three loops (D, anti-codon, and T loops).
Source: RNAcentral
GUGACUGUAGUUUAAAAAAAAUACUAGAUUGUGAUUCUAGCCAUGAGAGCUGAUAUCUCUUCAGUCACC